CAUGCAUCGGUGGGGUCCCUCAGCCUGGCCUGUGCCCUUUCACAAUCCAGGACCCCUUGGGGAUGUUGGAGAGCCAAUUUUGGUCCUAUCACACAGGCCAGGCUGAGGGACCCCACUGGUGCACA
This 125-nucleotide microRNA precursor is filed under the name Myotis davidii. Its description in RNAcentral is "mir-9193 microRNA precursor family". It matches the Rfam family "mir-9193 microRNA precursor family". Lineage: Eukaryota; Metazoa; Chordata; Mammalia; Chiroptera; Vespertilionidae. The record is from Rfam by way of RNAcentral.